This 1110-nucleotide long non-coding RNA is filed under the name Aedes aegypti (yellow fever mosquito). Its description in RNAcentral is "lncRNA AAEL021596". The record is from RNAcentral. Lineage: Eukaryota; Metazoa; Arthropoda; Insecta; Diptera; Culicidae.
AAGGUAAACUUUUGGAUGAGUGGCGCCGGAGAUGUGAAAAUGAAGAGGUGCAAGGAGAGCAAGCAGGAGGCGGCAAUGCGGCGUGUAAUUCUCGGAAGCCAAACAGGAAAUAUGAGACGCGUAUGCUAUUUUUGCCAAGAGGAGAGACAUAUUCGUCAGUACUGUGAGAAGUUAGCAGCGGCCGGCGAGCUCAAUGGGAAAGACAGCGACGUGAAGGUGAUUCACGCAGAAAUGGAAGCGAUGGAAACAACUGGCUUCAGGAUGUGAUCGGAACUAAAACCACGACAAAACGGCACAGCAAGUGGGGCAAUAGAUUGCUGCUCGGUCGAAACGGAAGCGGUGACGAAACGCAUGACGGCAAGGCGACCAGUAUGCUCUAAAAUCAAGUUUGCCUUGGACGCAAGUCAGGACAGAAUACCAGAGGUCCUAAUGAAACCGAGUACGAUACUACACUAUGACUCUUGGAGAAUACGUCGUUAUUAAUCCCUGAAGCAUGAGAUGCAUAGUAAAAUCCAUUCUGACUGAAAUUACCGACUAUGGAAGAAAUAUGUAGUUAACAAAUAACGUCCUUUCAGGAUGCAGACAACCCGUGUUGUUAAUUAGUGUACAUUUGCUAGGAUGGAAGGAACAUACCAAUUAAGUAUUAACAUCGUACUAUGCUCACAGGGCUGAUAGCGAGUCACUUAUUAGUGACUUGGUAAAUUUUCGGACCUGGCCACUAAAAAGUCACUAGUAACUUUUUUCAUUAAAAAAAUGGUAACUAAAGUCACAAUUUUCGUGGUCUGAUAAUGAAUAAACGAUAAUCUGGAUCAGCUUCUUAAGCUUUUUGUUAUUCUAAUGCAAACAUUCUUUGCUAACUAUCUGCUAGAUUCAGGUGAAUGUUGCGCAGACAUUUUUGACAGAAUAUCUGGAAUUUAUUUGUUGGGUUUUGUUAAUAAGUUCUAGGUAUUUUUUGAAAGUUAAGUGUCAUCAUAAUUUCUGACCACCAUAAUGAGCUUAUUUAGUGGUAAUAUCUGAUGAAAUCAUUAGAGAAUAGCCCGAAGGGAUUUUGACCUACUUUUUGAAGGAAACUCAACAGAAAGUAAUUCAUGAAAGAAGCCUUACACUUCA